AAAUUUCAUAAAUUUGAAUGACUAAAUUAACUGGUGCAAUUACAACAAGAAAAAUAACAACGAAGUCAUGUGAUAUUGAAAAUGAAAAAUGAGAUUAUGAUGAUAUAAAUACUUGAGAAUUUGGCAGCAUGUUGGGAGAAUCAAGCAAUGCAGUAGGACUAAUUCCAGGAGGUAUUGUUAGUCGUGGAGAUCGAACUGAAGGAGAAGUUACUAUCAUAGUUAUAAAUAAAAGAUUG
This 236-nucleotide long non-coding RNA is filed under the name Cicer arietinum (chickpea). RNAcentral describes it as "long non-coding RNA (CARI_LNC002056)". The record is from RNAcentral. Lineage: Eukaryota; Viridiplantae; Streptophyta; Magnoliopsida; Fabales; Fabaceae.